ACCCCAUGGACUGCAGCCCACCAGGCUCCUCCAUCCAUGGGAUUUAAAGCAAAUAAACAAACAGAAGACAAGAACUCCCCACAUGAGACCAUCUGGGCUCAGCGCUUGGGCAACUCCUGACACAGGAUGUGCUCACCUAAUGUCCACAGCGACGCUGAUGACACUCGGGCGUCCCGUGUCUCCUGGCUUGCACUUCUUUCUGCCCUUCCCUGUCACUUCCCUCCCUCAAAAGUCGCCUCCUCCAGGAAGUCCUCCAUGAAAAUGUCAUUCAUGAUUGCUGGUAGAACCGGGAGUACAGGAGCGGGGUUGCCCUGGAUGAAACUCCGGCCCCCAGCCCUCCUCCUGUUCUAGCCUUCCAGCCUCCUCUGAUCCAGGUGUCUUCCCAGAAACCACUGGCCAAAGGUCCAGGCUUUUCUGUCGCUCUUGUCCUGACCUACAGGAAAUCUGGGUCGCUGAGCCCAGCCCCCUGCCCCUUGGCAGGCCGGUUCUUAGACUGGCUUGGCGAAAGGGGGUCUCAGCGUCUUUGUGCGUUUCCGGGGAACAGGGUUCCACACGCAUCACGUGUCCCUCGCGAGCUGGCCUGCUCGCUUGCUCACACACUCGCUGGGUCCCACGGUUGCUCGUCGGCGGGUCACGCCUGGCCAGGCGUGCAGAGCACUUGCCCUGCUCCAGGGGCUGAGCUGGGCGCUUCGUCUGUAUUCACCCAUCGGACGCUUGCACGGCGUCAGGAGGGAGCCGCGGCCCCACGGCCCUCUCACGGGUGAGGACGCGGAGGCGCUCUCUCCCUGAGCGCUUGGUGGCCGGGCUCUGGGCUGCAGCUUGAUCUACAUCUGCCCCUUCCAUCCCCGCAGCACCCUGUGAUGGCUCUUGCAAUUCUAGGCGAGCCCAAAGCCUACGCAAUUUGGAGAGACUCUAAGAAGACCAAAGCAUCUUACUUCUGUAAAUGGCCCAACACACGCCAGCUGGGUGGACCCCCUGGUGAACUCCCUCUCGGAUUCUCGGGGGGCUCUGCGAGCCUACGCUCCCUUGGCUUCCGGGAAAAUCAGCCUGUGCUCAGAGGGGCGAGCUGACCCUCCCCGGGUCCCCCAGCUCAUGUGGAAGAGAUCUGACCCGAGUUCCCGGGGAAACCGCCCUCUCCAUGCCCUCCCCCGCAGCCACUCUCUCAGCCUUGCCUCAUUCUCCAGGUGAACUGGGCCAGUGAGGCGGGCCUCCAUCUGGCUCUGGGGUGGGGCAGUCAGAAACCCAGGCUUGGACCUUCAGAAUCACCUUGGGAGCUUGUCAAGAAUCCAUGGUCCUGGGCCUGCCCCCGCAGAUACAGCGUUAGUGGGUCUGAGCCAGGGCCUGGAAAUCUGUAUUUUCAGUGGGGCCCCCCAGUGAGGCUGCUCAGCCACUCCCUUUGGGGACAUGCUGCUUCUGGGACACCCCCUUCUGCCCUGUCGCCUGGCUGUGUCUGGCUCCCUGCCAGGCUGGGCCUGGCACCACGGCUGAGCAGGCCUCAUUUCUCAGGUAUGCAAUUAGCAGCCCCAAGAACAAUACGCUGUUUUAAUCAUUACAGCUCCCAGCCCGUCUGGUAAUUUGCUGCCUCUUUUACUGCAAUAACAAGCUCUGGCUUGGGAACAGGGGCGGAGCGCCGGGCUUUCAUCCCAGCCUUCCCACACGCCUGCAGUGGGGCCUGCGGGAGAGCCGGAGACACACCUCACACGUGGACAACCCGGGAAGGCUUCCCGGGGGAAGUGGCUGUGGGCUGUCCAUCAGCAGGACCCAGAAAGGGGCUGGAAUUUGGCCCAGUGCUGGGGAGAUAGUGGUAGACACGUGGUGAACACCAUUCACGCCCUCGUGGGGCCCACCCUCUUAUUAGAGAUCGCAGAGUAGAGAAGCCGCUGCACCCAGCAGGUCACAUGUGGCUGUGGUCGAAAGGGGGCCCCAUCUCGGCUGCGGUGGGGGCAGGGUUCAGGGCAGGCUUCCUGGGAGGAGGUGGUGUCCCUGCUGAGCCGUGGAGGGCAAGUAGGGCUGGGCCAGGCAAAGGGGGGCGUGGAUUGGGAUGGUGGAUGAGUUUUCUAGUCCCAAGGAAGUGCGUGUGCAGAGACCAGUGAGGCGUAAGUGGGACCCCAUCAUCCAGGCUGAGGGCUGGAACCCCAUCCGAAGGGGCCUGUGUCGCGGGUUUUUUUCUUUUUUCCGAAGACGGCUAUAGCAUGCUCUCCAAUCUCGCUUGCUCUUCUUUCAACGUGAUUUGACAUUCCUCCCCUCCAGUGCUGGGGUCUCUGUCCGCUUCCUUGGGCCCGGGAGGGGCUUCCUAGGUACACGGUGGAGCUUUGUGGAUGACACUCUGUGAUCUCCAAAGUCAGUUCAUAAAAAUGCUUUGCCACCUUGCUCUCUCAGGAUAUUUGUUCUUUGAACCCGCCUGCCAUGCUGGGAGGAAGCCCAAACUCAUCUGCUUGGAGAGACCCUGGGUAAGUGGUCCAGCCAACAGCCCUGCUGAGGUCCUGCUGAUGGCCCGCAUCAGCAACCAGGCAUGUGAGCGAAGACCUCUCCAGAUGGUUCCAGCCCCACCCACAGAGGCACUCAGCAUUGAGUUUUCCCAGCUGAGGCCCCAAACAUCACAGAGCGGGGUCAGGGCAUCCCCGAUGGGCUCUGUCCACUCUUGACCAACAAGACUCUGAGCGUAAUAAGGUGGCGGUUGUAUGCGGCUAAGUUUCGGGUAGUUUGGUGAAGACGGUGGAGGGAUGUUCUCUGGAGAGUGGGUGGGGAGGGCUGAGGCCGGAGACGGGGUCUGCUAGUGAAAUACAUAAAACUUCUAACUCCAGCAUUGGGACCGUGUUUGCCCAGCCCCCAGCAGUGUGGGAACCCCAGGUACACGGUGCCAUCCAGCCUCCGCCCGCACGCGGCCUCACCAGGCUGCCCUCCCCUUGGUCUCAGCUCUGGGUGUCACCGUGUUCUUUCUCAGGUCCAGUCAGCAUCUGUGUCCCUGCAGCAUCCUGGUGUUGGCAUCGCUCUGUCCUCAGAAUUCCCACGCACUCCUUCUCUCCUAUUCUGUCCUUUGAGGACUUGCCGAAGGUGACAGUCUAUUCUUCCACAGAAACAGCAGCUGUGGUUGCGUCAACUGCUCCUCGUAUGGUUUGAGUUGAAGACACGGGUUCAGGAGGAAGCUUCGCCAUGUCCAGCUGAGUGGCUUGGGCUCACCUACCCAAGUCUCUGCAGAGUUCUCUUCGGAGACAGGGAUAACAACAGUGCCUGCCUGCCUCCUCUCAGUACUGAGGGUGACAUGAGUCGACAAGGUAUUUAGCGCAGGGCAGGGGCUCCCUGGUGGCUCAGAUGGUAAAGAAUCCGCCUGUAAUGCAGAAGACCUGGGUUUGAUCCCUGGGUCGGGAAGAUCUCUUGGAGAAGGGAAUGGCGCCCCACUUUAGUAUUCUUGCCUGGAGAAUCCUGUGGACAGAGCAGCCCGGGGGGCUGCAGUCCAUGGGGUCACAAAGAGUCGGACACGACUGAGUGACUAACAUUUUAACAGGGGCUCAGUCAAUGUCAGCUCACACAAUGGGACCUAACCCUUGUCUCGCUGCCUCUUGUGGCUGUUGUCAAAAACAGUUGAGCUGGGACUUCCUGGUGGACUCCACACUCCCAGUGCAGGGGCCCGGGUUCGAUCUCUGGUCGAGGAACAAGAUCCCACAUGCUGCAACUACAGAUCCCUCAGGCUGCAACGAAGAUCAAAGGUCCUAUUUGCUUCAAGAUGUGGUGCAACCCCCCAAUGCAUUUUUUAAACAAAAAAAAAAAUUGAGCCAAAGAGCAGGAAAGGAUUUUAUGCACUGCGAAUUGCCAGGGUAGGAGAGGAGCUUGGCUGUCACUCUUUAUGAUCAUCUUGAAACAACUCAGUAUUGACCUAACCUGCUCUGGGGACCAGGAAGGGGUUAUGGGGACACUGGGAGGGCAUUGUCCUCCAGAGUCAAAGGUGGCUCUGUUCACAGCUGUCACCCUCUCUCCCCCAGCCUGGCUUCUGGCCCAGCCGCCCACAGAGAUAAAGUCUCUGCCUGUACCGUCCCACGCCCACCAUUUCCUUGUCAGGGUGAGGUCAUGGUCAGGGACAGGGACUUUCUGAAACAGCUGAGGGUGCUGAGGGGCUGGGCCUUGGUGGGAGUGGGGUUCACAAAUCCCUAGCCUCCCCUUUGGACACUGAGACCCUGCGGCUGCCACCUCGCCGUGUCCAGGGUUCCCUGGAUGGUGUGCAGGAGAGGUGCAGGGCUCAUGCUGACUCAGGUGGCCGUGGGCUGCCAGGGUGGCGGGGACAGUGGGAAUCCUGGGGCCCCCACGGGGCAAGGAAGGGGGCCUGGAGGCCGAGGGGCCUCGCCCUUCCCCCACCUCCAGGACAGACUGUCCGGUUGGACCUGACUCACACAGUGCACUUCCAUGUAAGAGUUUGAAAAAAAGUUAAAAAAAAAAAAAAAAUGAAGUCAAGAUUUUAAAUCAUUUACUGUAGUCCACUGAGCCUAUAAAGGGGAAUGGAUGGCCCAGGUCACAUGACCAGGCAGCGGCAGAAAUGGAACCAGAGCCUGAGGGAAUAGAGACUUGCUCUCUGCUUCUCCAAGCAUCCAUCUCCCCUUUCCCAUUUCUCUUACCAGAGCAGGGACCAAGGACUGGAGCCCGUGAUUCAAACUAAGCCAAUUGGUGCGUUCUGUUUCUCUGGCCACAGGGAUUGGCUCAGAGGUGAACAUGUGACCAAAGCAGGACCAAUCAGAGUGAAUCCCAGGACUUGGAGCUGGGAAUGCUGGGAGUGACAGGCUUUCUCCUUUCUACUCCAAGUGAUGGAGGUGAGCCCCCUUGGGCCAGGGCCGGGCCAGCCGGUGAGAGGGACCAGCCCUGCAAGAGGUUGAGAGAAGGUGCAGAGCACUUGUAUCCAGCCUCACUUGCUGCCAGAGAUUUUGACCUCUUCAUUGAUGUGAUGCUUUUGAACUGAGGUGUUGUAAAGACUCUUGAGAGUCCCUUGGACUGCAAGGAGAUCCAACCAGUCCGUCCUAAAGGAGAUCAGUCCGGAGUUUUCACUGGAAGGACUGAUGCUGAAGCUGAAACUCCAAUACUUUGGCCAUCUGAUGCGAAGAGCUGACUUGUUUGAAAAGACCCUGAUGCUGGGAAAGAUUGAGGGCAAGAGGAGAAGGGGAUGACAGAGGAUGAGAUGGUUGGAUGGCAUCGCCCACUCAAUGGACAUGAGUUUGAGCCAGCUCUGGGAGUUGGUGAUGGACAGAGAAGCCUGGCGUGCUGCAAAGAGUCAGACAUGACUGAGCGACUGAACUGAACUGAACUGAAGUUUAAAUCAGAGGCCAAGUUCAGCUACACAGCGCUCUAACUGAAAGGAUCUUCCUGUGCAGCUAUCUCUUGUUCCCAGGCCUGGGAGACUGCCAUGGCCAACAGGGCACUUGCGAGGUCACGGCCCUUUGACCUCUGCGCCUCUUCUCCAGGUUGCUCUCAUCCCCCACCCUCUGAAGCUCGCUGUAGAACCCAGACAGGCACCCAGGGGCUCCUCGCUUGUCCCUUGAAACCAGCGGGGCUGCCUUUCUCACUGGGGCCAUCCCGCCACAGCCCACCCACCAUCCACAAGCCCCAGGCGCUUCUGACCCUGAAUCAUCCACCUUCAGAGGCCUCCGCACCUGAGCUAUCAGGAAGACGCCUUCCCAGCCGAAUUCCCCUCUCACCCUCUGGCUGGGAGUGGCACGAGGAAAGCUUAGAGGGGGCUGCCUCCUAGCUGGUCAUGAGCCAGCUGUGUCCCAGGCGUCUGGAGGCCGCCCAGGGGCUCUUCUCCAGAUGAGGAAAGUGAGGCUCACGGGUGUGAUUUGCUUUCGGGUUUUUGUUGGCUGAGCUGGGCCUCCUAAAUCCCACUCCAGGGUUCUUCCCGGGAACGCCUGUUGCUUCAGGAGGUAAGAGGUGAGCUGGGCUGCCCAAGGAGACUUGCCACCGUGGCUCUGCUCUGUCUCCCACGAUCAGUGCCCUUUCCCGCCCGCACCUCCUCCCACACACUCACAGCCUGCCACAGCCCUCUGCCCAAACCACGAGGUUGAAGAAUCACCCAAUGCAGGGAUUUCCGAGACCCCAUCAUUCACCUCGUCUGCCUGCAGAAAACAGCGGCCGAGCUGCUCUAGAUGGAAAACCAGCCUCUGCUUUGCAGGCCCACCAGGGGGCUUCGCUGGCGGCUCACGGGUAAGGAAUCCGCCUGCCAGUGUAGGAGACACGGGCUCGGUCCGUGGUCCGGGAGGAUCCUGCAGGCCAUGGACCAACCAAGCCCUUGAGCCACAACUAUUGAGCCUGUGCUCUAGAGCCCCGGGACUGUAUCUACUGAGCACAUAAACCGCAGCUACUGAAGCCCAUGAGCCCUGGAGCCCACGUUCCCCAGCAAGAGACGCUAUUGCCAUGAGAAGCCCCUGCUCACCGCAACUGGAGAAAAGACCAUGCAGCCAAAAACCCAGCAGAACCCCAAAAUAAAUAAAUUAAUUUAAAAAAGGACCUCCUACGUACUCACAGGAUUCUCUCUCAAAUAGUUGUGAGCAGGACUGAGGAGACAGUGGGCUGAGAUGCAGGAUCACCCAGCGGCAGGAAGAGCAGCACAGCAAAACUCGCUCUCAGCUUUCUGCCAGGUGAGUUUAAUAGCCUUUAUUGUUUCGACUGAGAGGUCCAUUAAUCUCCCAAGUGUUACCUGACAGUAAUUAACAAUCGGCAGCAGCGAAGUAGCAGUAAGCGUGCAGAACAACAGAGGGUUUUGGCUCGAUGGAUCACGUGGUCUGCUUGCGUUCUCUGUCCACGUGCCGUUGAAAAAGGAGCCACGGACACGUCAUCUUUCCUUUUACGGCUUCAUUCAUGAUUUUCACCUUCAAGGAUGGGUUAAAAAAAAUAAAGAAAUUUUAAAAACGACUUCCGGGAUGCAGGCUGUAUCGUCACGCCUCUCGCUCUGCUCCCUGUGGACUCCAGCACUCUCUCGUGGAAGUCUUCCUGGUGUGUGACCUUCAUCCCUCAGCCUGCCGUGUAGCCUCCUUCCCCUGGGGCUGGCCUCCGGGAUCAGCUGGGAGGUGGGGGUUGUGGAAAACCAGCCUGGAACAUCUGAACGGGAUGAGCUCCUGGUGGAGGGCGACGGCGGCUUCUUGCCCCCGCUCUUGCUCUGAGUGUCCUGGAGGAGUACCCCAUGCGCUCAGUCCUCCCAGGAAGAAAGGAAGCCACUUUCCAGCAGCAGCCAGGAGACAACAGUGUGAGGCAAUGACUUUUGAACGUUUCGAUUAAACUCACUGUGAGAAAUGUAUUUUCAUCCCCAUUUUCCAACAACACGCACACAUACCCACCUGAAGCCACAGCUUUAUGACAGCAGCCUUCCAUGACGGUGUGAACUGCUUUUUGUUUUUUUUUUUAAGCUCUCUUCCACCUUAUUCUAUUAAAAAGUUGUGCUCAGGAUCCACUGCACUGAUUUCACACCCCACGAGUGGGUGACAGCCUGCAGACUGAACAACGUGGAUGUAAGUGAGCAGGAACGCAGGCUCUGGGGACAGGCUUGCCUGUGCCUUGCUGCUAUUAGUAAAGCAAGCGCAAAGCUCCCGAGUUCGCAGGGCUGCCGUGAAGGCUGGAAAUACAGCGGGGAAGGCACGUGGCGUUCGGCAACGGCACAGGGAGCAGGGCCCGGUGGCUCUUGCUGCACGGAUGUGCCCAUUAUGGGGUUAGGGAAGGCGGGCUGUCGCCUCUGGGCUGUGAUUCGGGGGCACCCUGCCUGAGUGUGUCUCUCCACCCAGCAGGAUCUCACUGAAUCGCGUUAGAGAGUCGUUCCUUUACACUGAGCGUCGCCCUGCCCAGCUUGGGUGCCUUUCUGUGUAAAUUUACCCGGCUGCAGGUUGUGACCUGGGUCCCCAGUACUUUGGACAAAUGAGUUUGCCAUACUCUCCCAGCCCUGAAGGAUAAGAGGGAAGGAAAACCGGGGCAGAGAACGUGUCUGGGAUGUGGUGGGAGGGACUUCACUGGCGGUCCAGUGGUUACGAGUCUGCCUUCCAAUGCGGGGGAUGGGGGUUCAGUUCCUGGAAGGGACGUAAGAUCCCACGGGCUGCAAUUAAGACCCAGCACGGCCAAAUAAACAAACAUAUUUUAAAAGAAGAAGUUGAUGGGAGACCUGGAAGGUCUUUCCAGACACCUGGACUUAGAGCCUAGCCUGUGCCCACCCCGCCGCACCCCACCCCACCCUGCCCACCAGCCCCCGUCUCCCUUAAACAAGAGACACUCUGUGGUGUGGGUCUGGCCUCCCCAGCCACAGGCUGAGUUGUGGGGUCAGUCCCUUCACUUCCCGGAGCCCCAGGUUCCCCUCGGUCAUGCUGUGGUGAGAUUUCAAUGAAACGGUGCCUGUGAAGUAGCUCACACCACUGCUGGCGCACAGUAGGACCCCACGCGUCUUCGUUUCCUCUUUCCAACUCAUCUUCCCUCCCGACAUACUCCCUAAAAACCAGCUCUUGGGAACAGAUCUGCCUUGCGAGGAGUGGGCUCCCCAUCACUGGAAGAAUCUCCCUAAAAAAGGCUCGAGAACGAACAGCCAUGGUAGGAGAGAUUGAGACUGUUCUGAUUUGGGGCACUGAAUAGGUGCUUCCUACGUGUCUGUGGAAUAAAUAACUGUGACUCCUGUAUUGGGAAGGUUUUUCUAGAACACUGCUGAAACCUGGCUACACAUUAGAAUCCCUGGGGAAUUUCAAACACAUGGAUGCCUGGAUCUCAGUGCCAUGAAUUCUGACUUAACUGUUCUGAAAUGCAGUAUGGGCAUUAAUAUUUUUAAAAGUUUUCCAGGUGAUUCCAUGCGCAGCGCCUGCAUUUGAGAACUGGAACACCAAGUUUCCUUCUAGGUCCAAGAUGAUAAGUACGUGUUAUAAAGUCAUUUACACGCUAGUAUAAAUUUCAGUCAGAGGUAUUUCGUGCACUGUGUGAUAUAUGAUUUGUGGCUGAAUAAGCGGUUUUAAAAAUGUCAUCUCAGAGUUCAGCCACGUUUCCUUUAUAAGCAGCAGAAAGUGUUCGGGUGAGUCAGUGAAGCCUUUCUGCUGAGGGUGAAUGAUCCAGCAGCAUCCGUGGAAGCGGGGCAGGUGGGUUGAGUAAGCCCAGCCCGGGUGCAGAAACUUCUGGGGCUUCAGAAUUAAAACAGGAGCGGAAGCGGGGCAAGUGGGUUCACUAAGCCCAGCCCAGGUGCAGAAACUUCUGGGGCUUCAGAAUUAAAACAGGAGCGGAAGCGGGGCAAGUGGGUUCACUAAGCCCAGCCCGGGUGCAGAAACUUCUGGGGCUUCAGAAUUAAAACAGGAACGUCCAUUGGAUGGGAGAGGCCUAGCCCCGGACUCAGGGGGUUCCAGUCUGAUGAGGGAGGCACAGCCCGUGCUCCCAGGAGGAUCCUAGUCUAGAGAGAGCCCUCGCCACUCUCAGCCUCAGCCAGGGUUUCAGAGAGCGCCCUCUCUGCUCUCAGCUUCACCCAGGGUUUCAGAGAGAGCCCUCGCCGCUCUCAGCCUCAGCCAGGGUUUCAGAGAGAGCCCUUGCCGCUCUCAGCCUCAGCCAGGGUUUCAGAGAGAGCCCUCGCCGCUCUCAGCUUCACCCAGGGUUUUCCAAUUUACAGCAUGCUUUUCUCAUCCUCAGCAAGUGAUUGGUCUAAUGAGGUGCAGCCCUUCCACUCUUGGGGAACUCUGUAGAAUUCUCUCCAGGAUUCCCAGGCCGAUGGAAGAUGUGAUUCCAGAGUGUCCUUGGGGAGUCGUUGCUCUGAUGCCUCCCACAGUCCCCACCCUCUGGUGUCUGAGCAGGGGGCAGGGAGGCCUAGUCCCUGUUCCCUGGGAGCCCCUGGGGCUACUGUGGGAGUCAGCAACCGCACGCUCCUCUCGCACACCCAGCUGUAAUCAUCUCCUUGGUUGUCUGUCUCCUUCCCUGGAACACGCGUUCCUAAUGUGCAGGGACUCUGUGUUCCCUUUCUCUGGAUCCCCAGAAGGUUUGCUGACUGACCGAUGGACCAACUCAGUAAAUGAAUGGAUGACCUGGUCUGACGGUGGGAGCUGCAUUCAGACCUGCAGGGUGGCAAUGCCCCGCUCCUUUGGACAGCCUCAGAGCCCUCCCGCCCCCUCCUGAGAGUCCCUGAGUUUCUGAAGAGGAUUGCACACACUCUUGCAGGUCUCAUCCCAGCUGUGUCGCCGGCGGUCGAUGUGAUGUCCACGAUGACGCUGCGGGCAGGACCUCAGCAUCCCAGUGGAACGGACCCCUGUCCUCCACUCCCAUCCCCUGCUGCCCCCAGGCUAAGGGAGAGCAUCCCGGACCCGGCGAGGGACGAAACGCAUUAGCUCUCUGCAAAAGUGGCUGAGAGAUCCUCCACCGUGAGGUGACCUGCUUCCAGGAGGAUCUGUUUGUCCUUCAGAGUAGAAAUAAAUAGAAACUGACUCUUAUACCCGGCGGCAGGCUCCGGCUCCCAGAAGGCACUGCCUGAGUGUUCUGUGCUCAAUGGUGGUCUUGUGCUCUGGGCGGGGGGUCUGGAAACCCUGGUUGAUGUGACCUGAGUCGGGACAAAGUCGGACGAGGUCACAGCGCGUCAGGGAGGGGCUGUGACGGUGGCCAAGCCUCUCGGCUCCUGGCAGCUGCCUGUUGGCAGAGUCUAACAUUUAGCCGGAUUUGGCUCACAGUUGGAAGGACGUAGGGUUGGCAAGAGAACCCAGGAGUCCUGAUCCAAGUUAUCCUUUUUUCUUUUUUUUUUUUUUAAGUUUUGGGCCUCACCUCAUGGUGCGUGAGGGGCUUCCCUGGUGGCUCGGGCAGUAAAGAAUCCGCCUGCCCACGCAGAAGACACAGGCUGCAUCCCUGGGUCGGGAAGAUCCCUUGGAGGAAGGCAUGGCAACCCACUGCAGUAUUCUUACCUGGAGAAUCCCAUGGACAAGAGGAGCCUGGCGGGCUGCAGUCCAUGGGGUUGGGGGGUCGGACAGGACUGAGCGACGAGCACGCGUGCACAGCAUAUGAGAUCUUAGCGCUCCGACCAGGAAUCAGCCCCCACCCCCCGCGGUGGACCCCCAGGGGAGUCACGACCCGGGCUGUACUGGGGGUUCCCACCCUGAGCUGGUCUUUAGGGAAACAAGGUGGUGGGAAGGCCCGCCCACUGCCCUGGGACCCCCAUGAGGCCAGGCCUCGGGUCCACCAAGUAGUUGGCCUCGGACUGCGCGGGGCCCUGGCUGCCUGGGAGGUGUCUGGGCUCGUGGUGGGGUCUUGCCAGAGAGUUCUGAAAACAGGAAGGCCUGUGUGAUGAUCAGGGCCUAGUGCAAAGUGAGAGCGUGGGCCCCUCUCCAGAAGUUACUAAGAAUGUCAGGACGACGGGCACAGGACGUGAUUCCAGGCAAGGGCUCUGUGCACACUUCCCACGCUCCCCAAAAACCACUGUCUUCUUUUCUCGGGGCUCCUGGAACAAAGUCUCACAAGCCAGGUGGCUCUCAGUAACAGAUUCGUAUCGUCUCCCCAUCUGGAGGCUGGAUGUGUCGGGAGGGUCGGUCCCUUCCAGGGCUUUGGGGGAGUGUCUGUCCCAGGCCUUGUUCCCAGCUCCCGAGGUCUGGCUGGCAGUCUGUGGGUCCCCUUGGCUUGGAGCAGCAGCGCCCCGGUCUCUGCCUUCGCACGCUGUCCUCUCCCUGAGGAUUUAUGUGUCAGUGUCCCCUCUUGAGAGGACCCCCGGUCGUGUUGGGUUAGGGCCCACCCUAACGACCCCAUUCUAACUUGAUUACCUCUGUCAACACCCUGCUUUCAAAGACGAUCACGUUCUGAGAUACCGAGGGUCAGGACUUCAAAUAUUUGGGGGGAAGGUGCAAUUCUGCCGGUGGUCCUGGCCCGGCUGGAAGGCUGCCUCUAUUCCGGCUCAGCUGGCGGGGUUUACUGACUUGUCCGUGCCUGGCUCCCCCGGGGCAGGUGAAGAGGCCCUGGGUGAACCCCCUGUCCCCACGGAACCUCCUGGUGGGAGACAGGGUGGCCCUCAGGUCCUGGUGGCUGGCGGCCUCUGCUCAGCCUUGGGAGGGCUGGGGGAUCCGCCUUGGGGGGCAGAGACCCUGUGUAUCCCCCCGCUCUGUCUGUGGGGCCCAGUUGUCACGUGACGGCCACCAGGUCCCUGCCUGCUGUGGUGCCCUCCCUUCCCGUCCCGUGAGGGGGCUCUGGGGAGUGA
Bos taurus (domestic cattle) is the source of this 12145-nucleotide long non-coding RNA. NCBI's taxonomy places the organism in Eukaryota, Metazoa, Chordata, Mammalia, Artiodactyla, Bovidae. The record is from Ensembl.